GCGCUGGUCGUCUAGCGGUCUAGGACUCCUCCCGGGCAGGGAGACAACACCGGUUCGAAUCCGGUCCAGCACACCA
This 76-nucleotide transfer RNA is filed under the name Kitasatospora sp. MAA19. RNAcentral's name for it is "tRNA-Ala". The record is from RNAcentral. Lineage: Bacteria; Bacillati; Actinomycetota; Actinomycetes; Kitasatosporales; Streptomycetaceae.